RNAcentral lists this ribosomal RNA (465 nucleotides) under uncultured bacterium. Its description in RNAcentral is "partial 16S ribosomal RNA". It matches the Rfam family "Bacterial small subunit ribosomal RNA", at positions 339 to 795 of the family's 1533-position model. The record is from RNAcentral.
CUACGGGGGGCUGCAGUGGGGAAUAUUGGACAAUGGGGGAAACCCUGAUCCAGCAAUGCCGCGUGUGUGAAGAAGGCCUGCGGGUUGUAAAGCACUUUCGGUUGGGAGGACUGCUUCUAGCACUAAUAUUGUUGGAAGUUGACGUUACCCUCAGAAGAAGCACCGGCUAACUCCGUGCCAGCAGCCGCGGUAAUACGGAGGGUGCAAGCGCUAAUCGGAAUUACUGGGCGUAAAGCGCGCGUAGGCGGCUAGAUCAGUCGGGUGUGAAAGCCCCGGGCUUAACCUGGGAACUGCAUCCGAUACUGUCUAGCUUGAGUACAGGAGAGGAGAGUGGAAUUCCACAUGUAGCGGUGAAAUGCGUAGAUAUGUGGAGGAACACCAAUGGCGAAGGCAGCUCUCUGGCCUGAUACUGACGCUGAGGUGCGAAAGCGUGGGGAGCAAACAGGAUUAGAUACCCUCGUAGUC